CUAGGUAUCUGUUAUUUAAACUUUGAAAAAAAAAAUUAAUUCUGUGGAUACGUUUAUUUUCAUGGGUAUCAAUUUUCAUUGCAUGAUGAAACCAAUAGUAUGUGAUAGAUUUUUUUUCCUGAUUUUGCCAAUGUCUGCAUUCUAGCUUACAGAAAAUAUGUAAUUUGUUUGACAUAUUUAAAUUCGUAGUUCCCCCGUCUCUACAAAAUUCCAGGAAAAUUGGUGUCCCAUGAAUGAUAAUGAAUCCACAGUAAUCUGAUUAAUUUGGAGCUUAAAAUAUAUGCAGGAAAUUGUAUUUCAUAAUCAGUAAUGGAGAGUUUAAUCGUUUUGUAUGAAAUAUUACAGGAAACUUUACAUGUCUCCUUGGUGUAUACUACUUCUUGUGAUCAAAUCAUCAUUUAACAUACAAAUCACAAACAAUUGGUUCAGAUACACUACACCAUGACACGUGAGUAGUACACCAAUGGUAAAUUUACCAUUUCCAUUUGUCCAUUAUAUCUACAUUUUUGCCUAUUUCACAUUUAAAAUCAAAUUGUGAAAAAACUUGUUUUAGUAUUACAUUUGAUAGAAAAUAUAAUAAGAUGUGGUAUGAGUACCAAUGAGACAACUCUCCAUCCAAGUCAUAAUUUGUAAAAGCCUGUUGUAUGAUAUAAGAAAAUGAUUGGUUAAAAAUGACUGACUACUGUGUUUUGGACCAUAUUUAGAUUUGAUCUAUCUGUGUAAAUAUUCUUAAUGGACAAAAGGAAAUGCAAGAACCACUUGAGCAAAUACAUUAUAUUAUUAUAAAUUGUUUUUCUUAUUUCUAGGACAGUUUUUUGAAUUUCAUUUUACUUAUAUAUA
RNAcentral lists this long non-coding RNA (840 nucleotides) under Mytilus galloprovincialis (Mediterranean mussel). Lineage: Eukaryota; Metazoa; Mollusca; Bivalvia; Mytilida; Mytilidae. The record is from RNAcentral.